GACGAACGCUGGCGGCGUGCUUAACACAUGCAAGUCGAACGGGCCCGCUCUCUUUUUUGGGGGUGGGUUGAGUGGCGAACGGGUGAGUAUCCCGUGAGUAACCUGCCCCCUGCUCCUGGAUAACUGCUUGAAAGGGCGGCUAAUACGGGGUGUGCCGGCUGGUCCGCAUGGGCCUGGUCGGGAUAGUUUCAUCUUCGGGUGUUUCGGUGGGGGAUGGGCUCGCGGCCUAUCAGCUUGUUGGUGGGGUGAUGGCCCACCAAGGCGGUGACGGGUAGCCGGCCUGAGAGGGUGGGCGGCCAGACUGGGACUGAGACACGGCCCAGCCUCCUGCGGGAGGCAGCAGUGGGGGGUAUUGAAGGAUGGGCGGAAGCCUGAUGCAGCGACGGCGCGUGAGGGAUGGAGGCCGUCGGGUUGUGAACCUCUUUCUCCGGGGGUGAAGGCCCUGUCCGUUGCGGCGGGGUUGACGGUAGCCGGGUAUGAAGCGCCGGCUAACUACGUG
RNAcentral lists this ribosomal RNA (499 nucleotides) under uncultured bacterium. RNAcentral's name for it is "partial 16S ribosomal RNA". It matches the Rfam family "Bacterial small subunit ribosomal RNA", at positions 28 to 507 of the family's 1533-position model. The record is from RNAcentral.